GUUUGUAAUUCUAACUACUGAGAGACUGAGGCUGGUGGCUAUCUUGAGCUCAUGAGUUCUGAGCUACAUUGGGCAAUGCUGACUGAAUAUCAGCACUAAAUUCAGUAUUGAUAUGGUGAGCACUCAGGAGCCAGGAGGCCACCAGGUGCACUAAGGAGGAGCAUACCUGCCCAAGUUGAAAACAGAGCAGGUCAAAACUGUUCUGCCAAUCAGUAUUAGGAUCAGGCCCAUGAGUAGUCCUUGUACUUCUAGCCUGGGCAAAAUGGGAAGACCCAGAAUUUU
Molecule: unclassified non-coding RNA, 282 nt
Organism: Vombatus ursinus (common wombat)
Lineage: Eukaryota; Metazoa; Chordata; Mammalia; Diprotodontia; Vombatidae
Rfam family: Metazoan signal recognition particle RNA
About the family: The signal recognition particle (SRP) is a universally conserved ribonucleoprotein. It is involved in the co-translational targeting of proteins to membranes. The eukaryotic SRP consists of a 300-nucleotide 7S RNA and six proteins: SRPs 72, 68, 54, 19, 14, and 9.
Source: Ensembl